UUUCCGUAGGUGAACCUGCGGAAGGAUCAUUAUUGUAUAACCGAGGUGCGAUGGCUGUCGCUGACCCGAAAGGUCGUGCACGCCCGAGUGCCCUCACACACAUCCAUCUCACCCCUGUGUGCACCACCGCGUGGGUCCCCCUUUGGCUUGUUCGGAGGGGGGCUUACGUUUUCACACAAACUUUGUAUGCAGUGUAGAAUGUAUUUUUUGUUUUUGCGAUCACGCAAUCAAUACAACUUUCAACAACGGAUCUCUUGGCUCUC
Molecule: unclassified non-coding RNA, 263 nt
Filed under: plant metagenome
Description: partial contains small subunit ribosomal RNA, internal transcribed spacer 1, and 5.8S ribosomal RNA
Source: RNAcentral